CCUACGGGGGGCAGCAGUAGGGAAUAUUGCUCAAUGGGCGAAACCCUGAAGCAGCAACGCCGCGUGGAGGAUGAAGGUCCUCGGAUUGUAAACCCCUUUUGUUAGAGAAGAAAAUGCCGUUACCUAACGAAUAAGCACCUGCUAACUCCGUCCCAGCAGCCGCGGUAAUACGGGGGGUGCAAGCGGUACUCGGAAUUACUGGGCGGAAAGAGCGCGUAGGCGGGUUAGCAAGUCAGAUGUGAAAUCCUAUGGCUUAACCAUAGAACUGCAUUUGAAACUGGUAUUCUAGAGUGUGGGAGAGGUAGGUGGAAUUCUUGGUGUAGGGGUGAAAUCCGUAGAGAUCAAGAGGAAUACUGAUUGCGAAGGCGACCUGCUAGAACAUAACUGACGCUGAUGCGCGAAAGCGUGGGGAGCAAACAGGAUUAGAUACCCCAGUAGUC
RNAcentral lists this ribosomal RNA (440 nucleotides) under uncultured bacterium. Its description in RNAcentral is "partial 16S ribosomal RNA". It matches the Rfam family "Bacterial small subunit ribosomal RNA", at positions 338 to 795 of the family's 1533-position model. The record is from RNAcentral.